RNAcentral lists this ribosomal RNA (253 nucleotides) under uncultured bacterium. RNAcentral's name for it is "partial 16S ribosomal RNA". It matches the Rfam family "Bacterial small subunit ribosomal RNA", at positions 524 to 776 of the family's 1533-position model. The record is from RNAcentral.
UACGUAGGGGGCAAGCGUUAUCCGGAUUUACUGGGUGUAAAGGGGGCGCAGACGGCGAUGCAAGCCAGGAGUGAAAGCCCGGGGCCCAACCCCGGGACUGCUCUUGGAACUGCGUGGCUGGAGUGCAGGAGGGGCAGGCGGAAUUCCUGGUGUAGCGGUGAAAUGCGUAGAUAUCAGGAGGAACACCGGUGGCGAAAGCGGCUCUCUGGCCUGUAACUGACACUGAGGCUCGAAAGCGUAGGGAGCAAACAGG